Molecule: small RNA, 26 nt
Filed under: Bombyx mori (domestic silkworm)
Lineage: Eukaryota; Metazoa; Arthropoda; Insecta; Lepidoptera; Bombycidae
Description: ovarian small RNA-36896
Source: RNAcentral
UUAUUCAAAACUAGCUGACCCGGCAG